GUGCUUCCUUCAGCAGCACGUGUACUAAAAAGCAGAAUGAUACUGAAAAGAGCAUGGCCCUUGAACAUGGAUGACAUGCAAAUGCGUGAAGCAUUCUAAAUUAAA
Molecule: small nuclear RNA, 105 nt
Filed under: Catagonus wagneri (Chacoan peccary)
Lineage: Eukaryota; Metazoa; Chordata; Mammalia; Artiodactyla; Tayassuidae
Source: RNAcentral